AGUUUCUUUCUAGAGAAACUGCACCGGACCUGUGUUAUAAAAAGCGCCUGCGGUGAGAGAAUCUAUCGUCCUGCAGACGCAUUUUAGCUGCGCGAUCGCUUCCGCUGCCUUUUUUUUCUCUGUUAUAAAGUUUUCAGGUAAAGAGACAAUGAUGAAUGUUUAAUUCUUCCACCUGAGACGAUGAUGAAUGAUUCCAGCGCUUCGGCGGCCAGGCCUACUGCGGGAUCAGCCUACCGGAAGACUUCAAAGAGACGAAAAUAAAUUGGUUUCAGAUUCGAGGUUUACUCAGCAGGAGCUUCCAGCCUGCAAGCCGAUUCUCACCCCACAAUGGGUUAUCUCAUUGUUCACUUUGGUUGGCAUAAUCUUCAUUCCUAUUGGCGUUGCUUCCCUUCUUGCUUCUAACGAUGUUGUUGAAAUCGUUGAUCGGUAUGAAACUGCCUGCGUACCACCCAGUAUGAUUAAUGAUAAGGUUGGGUACAUUCAGAAUCCUGCCAUCAGCAAAACUUGUUCACGGAUGCUCAAGGUACCCAAGGAUAUGGACAAGCCUGUAUAUGUAUACUAUCAGCUUGACAACUUCUAUCAGAACCACCGGAGGUAUGUAAAGAGCCGAAAUGAUAAGCAGUUGAGGGAUGCUAGCAAAGCUUAUGAGACUAGCGGUUGUGAUCCGGAAAAAGCUGCUGCAGACGGAACUCCAAUUGUCCCUUGUGGACUUAUAGCUUGGAGUUUGUUCAAUGACACAUACAGCUUUACUCAUGGCAAUGGUGAAUCACUGACAGUGAACAAGAAGGAUAUUUCUUGGAAGAGUGACAGAGAUCACAAGUUUGGAUAUGAUGUAUAUCCUAAGAACUUCCAGAGUGGAGCUCUGAGAGGUGGUGGAACACUUGAUCCUAAGAAACCUCUGAGCAAGCAGGAGGAUCUUAUUGUGUGGAUGCGUACUGCAGCACUUCCAACGUUUAGGAAGCUGUAUGGAAGGAUAGAAGUUGAUCUUAAAAAGAAUGAAAUCAUUACUGUAAUGCUAGAAAACAACUACAACACUUACAGUUUUGGUGGCAAGAAAAAGCUGGUGCUUUCAACCUCAACUUGGCUUGGAGGAAAAAAUAAUUUCCUUGGCAUUGCUUAUCUUUCUGUUGGAGGAUUGUGCUUCUUUCUAGCAACAGCUUUCAGUGUGGUACAUUUAGUACAGCCUAGGGAACUUGGUGAUCCUUCACUCUUAUCAUGGAAUACAAAUUCUGGAACUCACUAGGCUUUCCGAAAGCAGGCUGUGUAUUUUGGCGUGGUCUGUUUGUUUGUUCAUAUAUUAUUUCUAAAUUCAUAAAGGAUGCCCUCCUCAAAGAUUUUAGCAAAAGUGGGGUAGGAGGAAGAUGGGAGUUUCAGUGGUCUUUGUAUGCCACGAUCCUGUCACUCCAGUAGGAGCGAUGCGAAAAGAGAAAAAAGAUGAGAGUUUUGGAGGCAAUCUCGUUGCUUUGGUAGGAGCGGGGAGAAAUGAGAUGGAAGUUUUGAAGGUUUUUGUACGCUAGCGUCACUGGAGGGAAAAAUUAUUGGGUCAGCACAUCAGAUGCAAAUUUGCGCCCAAUGUCCAUAUAAAAAUGAACACUUGGAAGGUGGGUUUCACUUUUAAAAAACAACAAAAAAUGUUUAUUUCAGUGGGCCCCAUAUUUGUAGGUGGACCAUUUUAAUUUGACACCAGACGCAUAUUUGCGUCCGGUGUCCUGGCGCAAUAAUCUCUCCAUUGGAUAAGGUUUUUUGCUGGAACCAUGGUUUUAUAAGAGCUUUUCCUUGAAAAAAAUGACAGAGGCGAUCUAAUGAGCUUGGAAACACGAGCGUUAUCAGAAGCUGGUUUC
RNA transcript from Phalaenopsis equestris, 1841 nucleotides. It is a transcript of the gene named ALA-interacting subunit 1-like, with no coding region annotated. The transcript is spliced from 9 exons. The record is from RefSeq and is a predicted model, not a curated record. NCBI's taxonomy places the organism in Eukaryota, Viridiplantae, Streptophyta, Magnoliopsida, Asparagales, Orchidaceae.